GACAGAGGUGCCGAGCGUUAGGCGGAAUCACUGGGCUUAAAGCGUGUGUAGGCGGAUUCCUAAGUACCUUGUGAAAUCCCACGGCUUAACCGUGGAACUGCUUGGUAUACUGGGUGUCUUGAGCCAACUAGGGGGCGACCGGAACAAACGGUGGAGCGGUGAAAUGCGUAGAUAUCGUUUGGAACGCCAAUGGUGAAAACAGGUCGCUGGGGUUGUGCUGGACGCUGAGACACGAAAGCCAGGGGAGCGAACGGGA
RNAcentral lists this ribosomal RNA (256 nucleotides) under uncultured bacterium. Its description in RNAcentral is "partial 16S ribosomal RNA". It matches the Rfam family "Bacterial small subunit ribosomal RNA", at positions 524 to 777 of the family's 1533-position model. The record is from RNAcentral.